RNAcentral lists this ribosomal RNA (253 nucleotides) under uncultured bacterium. Its description in RNAcentral is "partial 16S ribosomal RNA". It matches the Rfam family "Bacterial small subunit ribosomal RNA", at positions 524 to 776 of the family's 1533-position model. The record is from RNAcentral.
UACGAAGGGGGCUAGCGUUGCUCGGAUUGACUGGGCGUAAAGGGCGCGUAGGCGGUUCGUACAGUCAGACGUGAAAUUCCUGGGCUCAACCUGGGGGCUGCGUUUGAUACGUGCGGACUUGAGUGCGGAAGAGGGUCGUGGAAUUCCCAGUGUAGAGGUGAAAUUCGUAGAUAUUGGGAGGAACACCAGUGGCGAAGGCGACUUCCUGGCCUGUUCUUGACGCUGAGGCGCGAAAGCUAGGGGAGCAAACGGG